CAGUUUAAAUAUCCAAGAUGUGAAUACUAGUUCCAAAAGUCAGUUAACUGACAAUCGAUGUGCCCAGAACUCUGGGAUUCAAAACACACAAUUCACAGAAACCGACUGUGAUGAUCAAAGGAAACCGGACCGUGAGUGCCGGGGUCUGGAAAAACCUUGGGUAUGUAAACCAUCAGCGCCAGCACGGCUUGGCUGCGCGGCCACCAUGCCUGAACGGGAGGCGGAAAACACCCACCAUACCUCAGGAGUGACUUCCGGGACGUCGUCUUUCUCUUCUUUCUUGAGUUCUACCAGCUCUUGAAACUUCUUGCUCCUUCUGUAAGUCAGCCUUUGUCUGCAGCAGCUGCUUCACUUCCAACCUGAGCAUACAGAACCAGAGACAUUUCAAGUUCAUUAAACAAAAGAUCACAGUUACGCCGAGCGCCACACAGCAGGAGGAGCUUUCAGAGAAACAACGCAGUCCAACAUCCUCGCUUAUGAUGGUGGACAGACGACAGGGGCAGAGGAUAAGGAAAGGCACUUCUUGUAACUACACAGAACCAAGCACAGACCCGCGAGUCCCGACGCCCAGGCGGGCCUUCCUUCAGGUGUUUACUGAGCCCCUGCUGGGGGCCAGCGACUGUCCGGGGCCGGGAAAUUGGAGGUGUGCCUGAGCUGAGGCCUGGACGGAUGGCAGCGCGGGGUAGGGGUGGGGGUGACCCGGGUGACACGUGGCCAAGGACGUGGCUUUAAAACGAGACCUCUGCCUGCAUCUCAGUCCCACUGCUUACUGUGUGGUGACCUAACGUUUCAAGGUCCUGUUAAUCUCCAUGUGAAGGAGAUAAAACCCUGCGUUUAGCAGGGUCCCUGUCACCUAGUCAGGGCUCAAUAAAUGGAAACUAUCACCA
This is a long non-coding RNA of Equus caballus (horse), 887 nucleotides long. RefSeq lists it as uncharacterized. The record is from RefSeq and is a predicted model, not a curated record. NCBI's taxonomy places the organism in Eukaryota, Metazoa, Chordata, Mammalia, Perissodactyla, Equidae.